This 1734-nucleotide ribosomal RNA is filed under the name Merizocera sp. 249 FL-2018. RNAcentral's name for it is "SSU rRNA". It matches the Rfam family "Eukaryotic small subunit ribosomal RNA". Lineage: Eukaryota; Metazoa; Arthropoda; Arachnida; Araneae; Ochyroceratidae. The record is from RNAcentral.
GAUUAAGCCAUGCAUGUCUAAGUACGUGCCGUAUUAAGGCGAAACCGCGAAUGGCUCAUUAAAUCAGUUAUGGUUCCUUAGAUCGUACCUUACUACUUGGAUAACUGUGGUAAUUCUAGAGCUAAUACAUGCAGCAGAGCUCCGACCGUUACCGGGACGAGCGCUUUUAUUAGACCAAGACCAAUCGGGCACUCCGGUGUCCGUGCUCCGUGGUGACUCUGUAUAACUUUGGGCUGAUCGCACGGGCAAGCCCCGGCGACGCAUCUUUCAAGUGUCUGCCUUAUCAACUGUCGAUGGUAGGUCACGGGCCUACCAUGGUCGUAACGGGUAACGGGGAAUCAGGGUUCGAUUCCGGAGAGGGAGCCUGAGAAACGGCUACCACAUCCAAGGAAGGCAGCAGGCGCGCAAAUUACCCACUCCCGGCACGGGGAGGUAGUGACGAUAAAUAACGAUACGGGACUCUUAAGAGACCCCGUAAUCGGAAUGAGUACGCUCUAAAUCUCUUAACGAAGGUCUAUUGGAGGGCAAGUCAGGUGCCAGCCACCGCGGUAAUACCUGUUCCAAUAGCGUAUAUUAAAGUUGCUGCGGUUAAAAAGCUCGUAGUUGGAUCUCAGUUCCAGACGGGCGGUCCGCCUAACGGUGGUCACUGCCCGGCCUGAACAACCCGCCGGUUUCCCCCGAUGAUCUUCGUUGGUUGUCCCGGGUGACCGGCACGUUUACUUUGAAAAAAUUAGAGUGCUCAAGGCAGGCGCUCCGCCUGGAUAAUGGUGCAUGGAAUAAUGGAAUAGGACCUCGGUUCUAUUUUGUUGGUUUUCGGAACACGAGGUAAUGAUUAAGAGGGACAGACGGGGGCAUUCGUACUGCGACGCUAGAGGUGAAAUUCUUGGACCGUCGCAAGACGAACUACUGCGAAAGCAUUUGCCAAGAAUGUUUCCAUUAAUCAAGAACGAAAGUUAGAUGAUCGAAGGCGAUCAGAUACCGCCCUAGUUCUAACCAUAAACGAUGCCAACCAGCGAUCCGCCUGGGUUCCUCAAAUGACUCGGCGGGCAGCUUCCGGGAAACCAAAGUGUCUGGGUUCCGGGGGAAGUAUGGUUGCAAAGUUCAAACUUAAAGGAAUUGACGGAAGGGAACCACCAGUAGUGGAGCUUGCGGUUCAAUUUGACUCAACACGCGACAGCGUACCCGAACCGGACACUGGAAGGAUUGACAGAUUAAGAGCUCUUUCUUGAUUCAGUGGGUGGUGGCGCAUGGCCGUCCUUAGUUCGUGGAGUGAUUUGUCUGGUUAAUUCCGUCAACGGACGAGACUCGAGCCUGCUAAAUAGGCGCCCCGAUUCCUACGGUCGGGCGUUCUUCUUAGAGGGACAAGCGGCGUCUAGCCGCACGAGACGGAACAAUGACAGGUCUGUAAUGCCCCUAGAUGCUCGGGGCCACACGCGUGCUACACUGAAGGAAUCAGCGUGUGCUUUCCCUGUCCGGCAGGACUGGGUAACCCGGUGAACCUCCUUCGUGAUAGGGAUAGGGGCUUGUAAUUGUUCCCCUUGAACGAGGAAUUUCCAGUAAGCGCGAGUCAUAAGCUCGCGUUGACUACGUCCCUGCCCUUUGUGCACACCGCCCGUCGCUAAAUCCGAUGAAAGGUGGGGUGAGGUCUUCGGACUGGCGCCCGGGGUGGUCUCCGGCCGCGCCGACGCGCCCGGGAAGAUGACCGAACUUCAUCGUUAGAGGAGUUAAAAGUCG